ACGUCAAUUGCCGCUAAUUAGUUCUUUAAGCUAAUAAAUGAGUGGCAUAUGAACAAUAGCCGCUAAAAGAUUUAUUUUUAGCGACAAUAAAAAUAAAUUGCCUCUAAAUCUCAUUAAUUGAAAGCAACUUUUUGUUAUUUUAUCCUUCCCUCCCAUUUUUUUUGACAACAAUUCAUUAUUCCCUCCAAUUAUUAAAAAGAGAAUUUUAAGAAAGCCCUAAUCCCUACCGAGAGGCCAAUUCUAUUUUGCUGUAUGUCCAAGACGACAGUGAAGACACUUGAAGAUGCCAUUGAAGACGAUCUUCUAAGACGCUGUGAUCCCCAUCGUCCGACGCCCGCCACCAUCCCAACUCCUUAGGAUAGCUCUCUCCUUUCUUCAUUUCUUCCCGUCAUUUUUAUAUUCUGAUAUUGUAUUUCUAUAACUGCUACUUACUACUUUUUGUUAGUUUUCUUAUGAAUAAUUUGUGGGUUUUGAUGAAGGGAUGACAUUUCACCGGUAAUGAAUUUGGGUUCAAGUCGUGCCUUAGAAAAGGUGUAUAUUGUCGAGCGAUUUUUGAAAAAGGCGCACACAAGUGACAACAUUAACGGGGAUGCAUUUUGUCACAACAAACUUGAUGACAAUUGUUCUUAGGUGGCUCGGGUACAUCCAAGCUUCUCAUUACCAGAUCUUCAAAAAUUUGUUUACUGUUUUCAAACUUCUCUAUUGUUGGGAAGAACAUUAGUUUGAUGUGGAACUUGGUGUGAUUCUAUCAGGCAAUUCUAUGCUUACCACUCUCUUCCUGCUA
Long non-coding RNA from Lycium ferocissimum, 784 nucleotides. RefSeq lists it as uncharacterized. The transcript is spliced from 2 exons. The record is from RefSeq and is a predicted model, not a curated record. NCBI's taxonomy places the organism in Eukaryota, Viridiplantae, Streptophyta, Magnoliopsida, Solanales, Solanaceae.